Molecule: ribosomal RNA, 527 nt
Filed under: uncultured Chloroflexota bacterium
Lineage: Bacteria; Bacillati; Chloroflexota
Description: bacterial SSU rRNA
Rfam family: Bacterial small subunit ribosomal RNA
Source: RNAcentral
GGGACGAUAAUGACGGUACCAGGAGAAUAAGCCACGGCUAACUACGUGCCAGCAGCCGCGGUAAUACGUAGGUGGCGAGCGUUGUCCGGAUUUACUGGGCGUAAAGAGCGCGCAGGCGGUCGUGCAAGUCGGAUGUGAAAUCCCCCGGCUCAACUGGGGAGGGUCAUUCGAUACUGCUCGACUCGAAGGCGGGAGAGGGAAGCGGAAUUCCCGGUGUAGUGGUGAAAUGCGUAGAUAUCGGGAGGAACACCAGUGGCGAAGGCGGCUUCCUGGCCCGUUCUUGACGCUGAGGCGCGAAAGCUAGGGGAGCAAACGGGAUUAGAUACCCCGGUAGUCCUAGCCGUAAACGAUGGACACUAGGUGUUGGUGGUAUCAACCCCGCCAGUGCCGAAGCUAACGCAUUAAGUGUCCCGCCUGGGGAGUACGGCCGCAAGGCUAAAACUCAAAGGAAUUGACGGGGGCCCGCACAAGCAGCGGAGCGUGGGGUUUAAUUCGAUGCAACGCGAAGAACCUUACCAGCUCUUGAC